Molecule: long non-coding RNA, 1788 nt
Organism: Oreochromis niloticus (Nile tilapia)
Lineage: Eukaryota; Metazoa; Chordata; Actinopteri; Cichliformes; Cichlidae
Exons: 2
Source: RefSeq, a predicted model, not a curated record
GUACACACGAAAUCCAUUCUCCAUACCGCAGGCAAAGCAUCCUGUAGAGAGACACCGAGGUCAAACAGCAGAAAUCACAAGCUGAGCACAAGUGCUGCAGCAGAAUCCUUUUUGAAGAAAGACCACACAGGAGAUUCAUGGACGUUGUGAAGGAGGACAUCAAGAGAGCUGCUGUGACCUGUUCUUGGCAUCCUCUGGACACGUCACGAUGAAGGCGACAGCUUCCUAAAUAGAGCAGCUGAAAGCAGACCUAUGCCUGAUGCAGCUUUUAAUUUUUUAGGUCAUCUAAAAUUUAAAAACCUUUAAAUUAUGAUACAAAAACCUGAUUUCACUAAUCUAUCUUUGGUUGACUGUUGGUGGUCAAAGUUUAUCUCAAAAAGUUUUAUCUCAAACUGUGCCUAUAAAACUUCUGUGGUUUGUAAUGCAGUCACUUGUAAAAUUCCUAAAAUUCUAAUACGUUACUAGGUUUACAAGAAACCACCGAUCCAUCACAAUCCACCGUGUUAUUGCUAUACAACAAAGAUGAACAAGUCACCAGCAUCACGGGCUGACUGGCCAGACAGCUGCACUGUGCAGGUAUUUUUCCCACAUGGACAGGUUGUUUGCUGGAUUUGGGGCACAACAGCUUACAAUUUGCAUUUUAUACAUCAGAAAUCGAUGAACUAACUGAAAAGAUGCAGCAGACAGUGAAGUUAAUGUAACAUUGGAAAGACUCUGAAGUUGGGUGUUCCUGAAUGCAGCUGGGAUUCAUCUGCAUCUUUAGCCAGCUUUACCCCCACUACAUCACACAUUACUAGAUGAUAUGAUAUUGAAAUUACCAAAUAACUUGUGGUAAAUAACUGACACUUGGAAUCAAAUGUUCAGUUUAUUACAGAAAAACAUAACCAAAGGUCCCAUGAAACCCACUUUCAGUGGAAACAUUUUUAUAAUCAUGGAGGUGUAAAAUCAAAGCCAUGAAAAUGUAACUACUGCUAUUUUUCUAGCAAUCCCACAACUAGAUGGCCUCUUACCUUUACAAGCUAUAAAAACUUUUUUCCAGUUGCCAGUUUAUUUCAAAGUUAGUGAAAGGACAGAAUGUUGCCUACAUUGUAAAUGUAGAUUGCUGUAGAUGCUCUGAUGUUCACUGCCGUUUCACAGCAGUCAUCAAGGCUUAGUUUUCUAGCAUUAGGUCGUCUGAUGUACUUAACCAUAGGCUGUCAGCACAGCUCCAGGUUGGUGAUCCAAACAGGACUAUCAACAUGGACUCUAACCGAACAAAGAGACCCCUAUCAAUUUUAAUGAAGACUACAUUUAGAGUAUGUCAGGCUUGUCUGACAGCCCCUACUGACAAAGAACUGAAAACAUUUUCAUGCUCUCAGUAAAAAGCCACAAGACUGCUGACAAACAGUAAUUUUACCUCAAAGAACGCAAAUUCUUGAUCUAUGUUUCAGCCGCCAGAGGUUAGUUUGUGUGUCUUUCUGUGUUUGUUUUAAUAUGUCAAACAGCUGUAAACCAAAGGCUGUGUUGUGUGAUGUGAUGUUGUGUGAGGGUUGUGUGACAAGUAAUCCUCCAAAUAACCUAGUAACCUAACCCUGUGUGAUACCUAAACACUCACUGGCUUACAUUUAUUUUCUGUUCGCAUGUCACCACUACAAAAUGAGAAAAGAAAAAAAAGAAGAAGAAAAAAAAUCACAUUAGCAAGGCAAGUUGCUAAUCCUAAUAUCAGUUUGGUUUAAACACACACAGGCCACAGCUAUGUGGGAAAAACAGGGAUAGCAAAAUAUUAGAAACUGUGAGAAAAAAAAAAAA